Oreochromis aureus is the source of this 191-nucleotide small nuclear RNA. Its record names the gene U2. It matches the Rfam family "U2 spliceosomal RNA". Rfam says of the family: U2 is a small nuclear RNA (snRNA) component of the spliceosome (involved in pre-mRNA splicing). Complementary binding between U2 snRNA (in an area lying towards the 5' end but 3' to hairpin I) and the branchpoint sequence (BPS) of the intron results the bulging out of an unpaired adenosine, on the BPS, which initiates a nucleophilic attack at the intronic 5' splice site, thus starting the first of two transesterification reactions that mediate splicing. The record is from Ensembl. NCBI's taxonomy places the organism in Eukaryota, Metazoa, Chordata, Actinopteri, Cichliformes, Cichlidae.
AUCGCUUCUCGGCCUUUUGGCUAAGAUCAAGUGUAGUAUCUGUUCUUAUCAGUUUAAUAUCUGAUACGCCCCCGAUUCGGGGGCAACGUAUUAAACGCAUUUUUAGAACAGGGAGCUGAAUAAGGGGCUCGCUCCGUUCGCUCCACGCAUCGACCCGGUAUUGCAGCGCCUCCGGGAACGGUGCCCCCUUU